GAUGAAGCCCACUUGUGGGUGGAUUAGUGGCGAACGGGUGAGUAACACGUGAGUAACCUGCCCUUGACUCUGGGAUAAGCCUGGGAAACUGGGUCUAAUACCGGAUAUGACUCCUCAUCGCAUGGUGGGGGGUGGAAAGCUUUUUGUGGUUUUGGAUGGACUCGCGGCCUAUCAGCUUGUUGGUGAGGUAAUGGCUUACCAAGGCGACGACGGGUAGCCGGCCUGAGAGGGUGACCGGCCACACUGGGACUGAGACACGGCCCAGACUCCUACGGGAGGCAGCAGUGGGGAAUAUUGCACAAUGGGCGCAAGCCUGAUGCAGCGACGCCGCGUGAGGGAUGACGGCCUUCGGGUUGUAAACCUCUUUCAGUAGGGAAGAAGCCUUUCGGGGUGACGGUACCUGCAGAAGAAGCGCCGGCUAACUACGUGCCAGCAGCCGCGGUAAUACGUAGGGCGCAAGCGUUAUCCGGAAUUAUUGGGCGUAAAGAGCUCGUAGGCGGUUUGUCGCGUCUGCCGUGAAAGUCCGGGGCUCAACUCCGGAUCUGCGGUGGGUACGGGCAGACUAGAGUGAUGUAGGGGAGACUGGAAUUCCUGGUGUAGCGGUGAAAUGCGCAGAUAUCAGGAGGAACACCGAUGGCGAAGGCAGGUCUCUGGGCAUUAACUGACGCUGAGGAGCGAAAGCAUGGGGAGCGAACAGGAUUAGAUACCCU
This 710-nucleotide ribosomal RNA is filed under the name Arthrobacter sp. RNAcentral describes it as "bacterial SSU rRNA". It matches the Rfam family "Bacterial small subunit ribosomal RNA", at positions 68 to 788 of the family's 1533-position model. The record is from RNAcentral. Lineage: Bacteria; Bacillati; Actinomycetota; Actinomycetes; Micrococcales; Micrococcaceae.